UUUCCGUAAGUGAACCUGCGGAAGGAUCAUUCAUAAUAAGUGUUUUAUGGCACUUUUUUAAAUCCAUAUCCACCUUGUGUGCAAUGUCAGGGUUGAUUUUUCUCUCGAGAGGAUCAACCCCAAACAUCAACUAUAUCUCAACUCUUUGUCUGAAAAAUAUUAUGAAUAAAACAAUUCAAAAUACAACUUUCAACAACGGAUCUCUUGGCUCUC
This 213-nucleotide unclassified non-coding RNA is filed under the name plant metagenome. Its description in RNAcentral is "partial contains small subunit ribosomal RNA, internal transcribed spacer 1, and 5.8S ribosomal RNA". The record is from RNAcentral.